This 486-nucleotide long non-coding RNA is filed under the name Homo sapiens (human). RNAcentral's name for it is "non-protein coding lnc-FAM69B-2:1". Lineage: Eukaryota; Metazoa; Chordata; Mammalia; Primates; Hominidae. The record is from RNAcentral.
CGCGUGUGUGUGCCUGUGCGUGUCAGUGAGCUCUCCGGAAGGAGUGUGUGUGCAUGAGUGGGCGUGAGGGAGCUAGCCCUGGCGUGCGCCUGCGUGUGAGAGCGUGUGCGUGCGUGCAUGUACAUGCCUCCACCCCUCUGCUGAGGUAUGGAAUCAGCGGUGGUCAGCACGGGGACAGAGACAGGCAAGGAGGUGCACAUUCCCCAGGAUCCUGGAGAUCGGCCUGAAGACCCACAGGGAUCUCACGGUGCUGCCUGGUCACCCUCACGAAGUCCACGAUGUUGGGGAAAAAACAGUCUUUUUGAUGCCCAAGGGAAGCUUUGCUUUUAUGUUAGUGGUUACACAAUUUCUUUUACAUAUCAUCAGCAGGAAAACAUCAUGUUUAAAACUUUGCUUAGAACAUGUGAUUCCCCAAACGCUGCGUGCGGAAGGCCGCAGGGUCCUCUGCCUAGGAAAACCAGAGACCUUUGUUCACUUGUUUAUCUG